CUGGAGGUAUCAGAAGUGCGAAUGCUGACAUAAGUAACGAUAAAGCGGGUGAAAAGCCCGCUCGCCGGAAGACCAAGGGUUCCUGUCCAACGUUAAUCGGGGCAGGGUGAGUCGACCCCUAAGGCGAGGCCGAAAGGCGUAGUCGAUGGGAAACGGGUUAAUAUUCCCGUACUUGGUGUUACUGCGAAGGGGGGACGGAGAAGGCUAUGUUGGCCGGGCGACGGUUGUCCCGGUUUAAGCGUGUAGGUGUGUGUUCCAGGUAAAUCCGGUUCACUUUAACACUGAGGCGUGAUGACGAGGCACUACGGUGCUGAAGCAACAAAUGCCCUGCUUCCAGGAAAAGCCUCUAAGCAUCAGGUAACAUCAAAUCGUACCCCAAACCGACACAGGUGGUCAGGUAGAGAAUACCAAGGCGCUUGAGAGAACUCGGGUGAAGGAACUAGGCAAAAUGGUGCCGUAACUUCGGGAGAAGGCACGCUGACACGUAGGUGAAGUGAUUUACUCAUGGAGCUGAAGUCAGUCGAAGAUACCAGCUGGCUGCAACUGUUUAUUAAAAACACAGCACUGUGCAAACACGAAAGUGGACGUAUACGGUGUGACGCCUGCCCGGUGCCGGAAGGUUAAUUGAUGGGGUCAGCGCAAGCGAAGCUCCUGAUCGAAGCCCCGGUAAACGGCGGCCGUAACUAUAACGGUCCUAAGGUAGCGAAAUUCCUUGUCGGGUAAGUUCCGACCUGCACGAAUGGCGUAAUGAUGGCCAGGCUGUCUCCACCCGAGACUCAGUGAAAUUGAACUCGCUGUGAAGAUGCAGUGUACCCGCGGCAAGACGGAAAGACCCCGUGAACCUUUACUAUAGCUUGACACUGAACAUUGAGCCUUGAUGUGUAGGAUAGGUGGGAGGCUUUGAAGUGUGGACGCCAGUCUGCAUGGAGCCGGCCUUGAAAUACCACCCUUUAAUGUUUGAUGUUCUAACGUGGACCCGUGAUCCGGGUUGCGGACAGUGUCUGGUGGGUAGUUUGACUGGGGCGGUCUCCUCCUAAAGAGUAACGGAGGAGCACGAAGGUUGGCUAAUCCUGGUCGGACAUCAGGAGGUUAGUGCAAUGGCAUAAGCCAGCUUGACUGCGAGCGUGACGGCGCGAGCAGGUGCGAAAGCAGGUCAUAGUGAUCCGGUGGUUCUGAAUGGAAGGGCCAUCGCUCAACGGAUAAAAGGUACUCCGGGGAUAACAGGCUGAUACCGCCCAAGAGUUCAUAUCGACGGCGGUGUUUGGCACCUCGAUGUCGGCUCAUCACAUCCUGGGGCUGAAGUAGGUCCCAAGGGUAUGGCUGUUCGCCAUUUAAAGUGGUACGCGAGCUGGGUUUAGAACGUCGUGAGACAGUUCGGUCCCUAUCUGCCGUGGGCGCUGGAGAACUGAGGGGGGCUGCUCCUAGUACGAGAGGACCGGAGUGGACGCAUCACUGGUGUUCGGGUUGUCAUGCCAAUGGCACUGCCCGGUAGCUAAAUGCGGAAGAGAUAAGUGCUGAAAGCAUCUAAGCACGAAACUUGCCCCGAGAUGAGUUCUCCCUGAGACUUAGAG
RNAcentral lists this ribosomal RNA (1571 nucleotides) under Salmonella enterica subsp. enterica serovar Schwarzengrund. RNAcentral describes it as "partial 23S ribosomal RNA". It matches the Rfam family "Bacterial large subunit ribosomal RNA", at positions 1273 to 2824 of the family's 2925-position model. The record is from RNAcentral. Lineage: Bacteria; Pseudomonadati; Pseudomonadota; Gammaproteobacteria; Enterobacterales; Enterobacteriaceae.